CGACUCUGGUUUCUCUUCAUUACCACAACCUUUCCCUUUUACUAAAGACUUCCGUGGAGAGGAACACUUACGAGUUCAAUAUUUGGAAGGACUUUUGCUUCU
Molecule: small nuclear RNA, 102 nt
Filed under: Salmo salar (Atlantic salmon)
Lineage: Eukaryota; Metazoa; Chordata; Actinopteri; Salmoniformes; Salmonidae
Description: U5 spliceosomal RNA (ENSSSAG00000121574.1)
Rfam family: U5 spliceosomal RNA
About the family: U5 RNA is a component of both types of known spliceosome. The precise function of this molecule is unknown, though it is known that the 5' loop is required for splice site selection and p220 binding, and that both the 3' stem-loop and the Sm site are important for Sm protein binding and cap methylation.
Source: RNAcentral